GUGCUCGCUUCGGCAGCCCAUAUACUAAAAUUGGAACGAUACAGAGAUUAGCAUGGCCCCUGCACAAGGAUGACACGCAAAUUCAUGAAGCAUUCCAUAUUUUU
This 104-nucleotide small nuclear RNA is filed under the name Macaca mulatta (Rhesus monkey). Lineage: Eukaryota; Metazoa; Chordata; Mammalia; Primates; Cercopithecidae. The record is from RNAcentral.